Molecule: ribosomal RNA, 116 nt
Filed under: uncultured bacterium
Lineage: Bacteria
Description: partial 16S ribosomal RNA
Source: RNAcentral
UAACACCCGAAGUCGGUGGGGUAACCUGGGACAAAACUUAACCUCUUAUUAGAAUAUAGGAAGUUAAGUUUUGUCCUAGGAGCCAGCCGCCUAAGGUGGGACAGAUGAUUGGGGUG